UCUUCAGCUGCCUCACAAACAUUGUUUUAUUUCACACAGGCAUCCAUCAGGACAGUGGCUGUGAAGCUUGGAACAAUAUGCAGCCGGCACCACAAGACAUGCUCAGAAGAUCUGGGAGAGCAUGAGAAGAGUUUUCUACCAGGGAACACAUGGCUUGAUUAAGUUAAUGGCCACUGUGGCCGGUGGAGCACUUUUCCUGCUGAUGUGCUAUGCUGGAAUCAAGUAUUGCUGGAAGAGAAAAGGGAGCACCUCUGCACCUUCAGAACAGCAGCCAAAGACUUUAAUCACCGAGAAGCUGACCUG
Molecule: non-coding RNA, 303 nt
Organism: Cyanistes caeruleus (blue tit)
Lineage: Eukaryota; Metazoa; Chordata; Aves; Passeriformes; Paridae
Source: RefSeq, a predicted model, not a curated record